AGCUCCAAUAGCGUAUAUUAAAGUUGUUGCAGUUAAAAAGCUCGUAGUUGAAGUUCUGGCUGCUCGACCCUCGAGCUCUGUAGCCGGGGGCUCGGCAGUCAUCCGCUUGCAAACAUAUGUUCGCCCUUAACCAGGCGGCUAUGUGAGCAAGCAUUUUACCUUGAGAAAAACAGAGUGUUCCAGGCAGGUUUGUCCGGAAUGCAUUAGCAUGGAAUAAUAGAAUAUGACUGAAGUCGAUUUAUUGGUUUGAGGCUUUAGUAAUGAUUAAUAGGAACAGUCGGGGGCAUUGGUACUUGUCAGUCAGAGGUGAAAUUCUAGGAUUUGACAAAGACUAACAAAUGCGAAAGCAUUUGCCAAGGAUGUUUUCA
This 368-nucleotide ribosomal RNA is filed under the name uncultured Peritrichia. Its description in RNAcentral is "SSU rRNA". It matches the Rfam family "Eukaryotic small subunit ribosomal RNA", at positions 587 to 972 of the family's 1831-position model. Lineage: Eukaryota; Ciliophora; Oligohymenophorea. The record is from RNAcentral.